AUGGGCGGGUCCCCCUCCACCGCCAGCGCCCCCGCGGAGGCGCGCGAGCUGCGGGAGCAGGAGGCGCUCGCCUCCGCGGCCCUCUCCCUCCCGCUCCUCCGCGCCGUCUUCUCCCGCUCCCCCGACCUGGCCGCGACCCUCUCCCUCCCGCCGGCCUCCUUCCGCUCCGCCUCCCCUCUUGAAACUCCGGCGCACUUCCAGGACCUCCUUGCAAGCCUCGGCCCCACCAUCGCCUCCCUCUUCUUCUCCCGCGGCGCCUCCAAGGACGCGGGGGCGGGGGGCUGGGUCGGCUUCCUCAGGGGGUUCAACUCCUGCUGCGCGCGCGCACGGGCCUCGCUGCCGCUGGCGCUGCUCCUGCGCGUGUACGCCGCGGCCUGCGCCGACGCGGGCGCGCCCUGCGGCGUGCAGUUCCGCCCCGACGAGGACGGCGGCGGGGAUGAGGAGGGCGGGAAGGUCGUGGGGGAGCUCGCCCCCGGGGAGAUCGCCGUGCUGCUGUCCAUGUGCUGGGUCAUGGCGUGGAGCGGCUUGGCGCCGAGGGUUUCGGGCGGCGAGGAAGGGGGGAAGGGUGAGCCGGUGCUGCUCCCGGACGUGUCGCACCUGGUGCUGUCGGCGCUCGUGUCCGCGGGCGCCGUCGCCGAUGACGACGGUGUCUGGGGCUGGGAGGUUUCCUCUGCCGGGAAGGGGGUUUCGGUGCAGGAGUUCACGUCCUGGGUCAUCUCGACUGUCCCCGGGCUUGGCAACUGCCUCUCGCGGUAUGUGCAGGACAGGUUCCGGUCGUCUGAGGCUGAUCCAGCGAAGGAAAGCUCUGUUUCAACUGGUAACACAACUUUUGAUACUUCUGAUGCAUAUCUAUUAACACGUGGGAGGGCAUGGUCAAUCUCUCUCAGCGUCAGAAACACAUUGAGUGAAAAGUUUUUGUCAGCAUCUGUCAUUGGAAUGGACACAGAAGACCUUCUUUAUAGGUCAUCGCUUCAUGGAAAAGGUCUGAGCCGUUUUUGGUCUUGUGUUGAGGGGUAUAAGGGACCAGCGCUAAUUCUAAUCUCGGCAUUCUCGAAAGCUGGUAGUGAUAAUGUUGAUGCUGGCCGAAAAUGGGGACUUGGUGUAUUAACUGAGGAUGGAUUUGAGAACAAAGACACUUUCUAUGGUAGCUCUGGGUUCCUAUGUGCCACAUAUCCAAUAUUCCGCAUGCUUCUGCCAUCGGGUAAGGAGAAGAACAUCAUGUAUUGCCACCUGCAUACUCAGCUAAAGACGUAUGAGGCAACGCCAAAGCCUCUUGGCUUAGCAUUCGGCGGAUCAAUUGGAAACGAGAGGAUCUUUAUCGACGAGGACUUCUCUAAAGUUACAAUUCGCCAUCAUGCAGUUGACAAGACUUACCAACAUGGUUCUCUCAUUCCCAAUCAGGGUUAUUUACCUGUUGAGGCUUCAGUACUUGACUUCGAAGUAUGGGGACUUGGUGGACAAACAACAAAGCGGCAACAGGAUAUUUUCAAGAAGAGGGAGGAUAUUUUCUCAGGGCAGCGGAGAAAGAUUGAUCUCGCAGCUUUUGGCAACUGGGAAGACUCUCCAGAGAAAAUGAUGAUGGACAUGGUUUCUGACCCAAACAAGGCCCGUCGGGAAGAACGUUGA
RNAcentral lists this ribosomal RNA (1626 nucleotides) under Triticum aestivum (bread wheat). Its description in RNAcentral is "partial small subunit ribosomal RNA". The record is from RNAcentral. Lineage: Eukaryota; Viridiplantae; Streptophyta; Magnoliopsida; Poales; Poaceae.